GGGCGGGUAUUCUAGCACGGAUAAGGAGACAGCCUCCUAAGCUGUAUGUCUAGGGUUCGAAUCCCUACCCGCCCG
RNAcentral lists this transfer RNA (75 nucleotides) under methanogenic archaeon ISO4-H5. It matches the Rfam family "tRNA". Rfam says of the family: Transfer RNA (tRNA) molecules are approximately 80 nucleotides in length. Their secondary structure includes four short double-helical elements and three loops (D, anti-codon, and T loops). Lineage: Archaea; Methanobacteriati; Thermoplasmatota; Thermoplasmata. The record is from Rfam by way of RNAcentral.